GACGAACGCUGGCGGCGUGCUUAACACAUGCAAGUCGAACGGAAAGGCCCUGCUUGCAGGGUACUCGAGUGGCGAACGGGUGAGUAACACGUGGGUGAUCUGCCCUGCACUUCGGGAUAAGCCUGGGAAACUGGGUCUAAUACCGGAUAUGACCUUCCAUGUAGUGUGGGGGGUGGAAAGAUUUAUCGGUGUGGGAUGAGCCCGCGGCCUAUCAGCUUGUUGGUGGGGUAAUGGCCUACCAAGGCGUCGACGGGUAGCCGGCCUGAGAGGGUGGACGGCCACAUUGGGACUGAGAUACGGCCCAGACUCCUACGGGAGGCAGCAGUGGGGAAUAUUGCACAAUGGGCGGAAGCCUUAUGCAGCGACGCCGCGUGGGGGAUGACGGCCUUCGGGUUGUAAACCUCUUUCGACAGGGACGAAGCUUCGGUGACGGUACCUGGAUAAGAAGCACCGGCUAACUACGUG
RNAcentral lists this ribosomal RNA (465 nucleotides) under uncultured bacterium. RNAcentral describes it as "partial 16S ribosomal RNA". It matches the Rfam family "Bacterial small subunit ribosomal RNA", at positions 28 to 507 of the family's 1533-position model. The record is from RNAcentral.